RNAcentral lists this ribosomal RNA (253 nucleotides) under uncultured bacterium. RNAcentral describes it as "partial 16S ribosomal RNA". It matches the Rfam family "Bacterial small subunit ribosomal RNA", at positions 524 to 776 of the family's 1533-position model. The record is from RNAcentral.
UACGUAGGGUGCGAGCGUUGUCCGGAAUUAUUGGGCGUAAAGAGCUUGUAGGCGGUUUGUCGCGUCUGCUGUGAAAAUCCGGGGCUCAACCCCGGACUUGCAGUGGGUACGGGCAGACUAGAGUGUGGUAGGGGAGACUGGAAUUCCUGGUGUAGCGGUGAAAUGCGCAGAUAUCAGGAGGAACACCGAUGGCGAAGGCAGGUCUCUGGGCCACUACUGAUGCUGAGAAGCGAAAGCAUGGGGAGCGAACAGG